CGGAGUGAACGCCUGGCGGCGUGCCUAACACAUGCAAGUCGAGCGAAGGUGAAACGAGUACUUGUACAAAUUUUAUCUUAGCGGCGGACGGGUGAGUAACACGUGAGUAACCUGCCUUUCGACUGGGGAAUAACAUCGAGAAAUCGGUGCUAAUACCGCAGUAAUGUCACGAGAUCGCAUGGUUUUGGACCAAAGGAGCAAUCCGGUGAUAGAUGGACUCGCGUCCGAUUAGAUAGUUGGUGAGGUAACGGCCCACCAAGUCAACGAUCGGUAGCCGAACUGAGAGGUUGAUCGGCCACAUUGGGACUGAGACACGGCCCAGACUCCUACGGGAGGCAGCAGUGGGGAAUAUUGGGCAAUGGGCGAAAGCCUGACCCAGCAACGCCGCGUGAAGGAAGAAGGUCUUCGGAUUGUAAACUUCUUUGAUCAGGGACGAAUAAAUGACGGUACCUGAAGAACAAGCCACGGCUAACUACGUG
This 479-nucleotide ribosomal RNA is filed under the name uncultured bacterium. RNAcentral describes it as "bacterial SSU rRNA". It matches the Rfam family "Bacterial small subunit ribosomal RNA", at positions 25 to 507 of the family's 1533-position model. The record is from RNAcentral.